CUGUGAGGUGUGGCGCGGCGUCUGUGAGGAAGACAAACUGAUGUGAGGAUGAGGAGGAGUCAGAAAUAAACUCAUUCAACUAAUACUUGAGUAGCUACUGUUGCCUACAGUAUGUUCAAGGUUUUGCUAGUCAUCCAUAUGAUCACUAUUGACAGCUUGGGAGACUCACACAGGCUAGUGAAUUUCAGGAAUUAACAGAAACUGAACAGCUUCUAUAAUCCUGCAGGAAGUAACCUCUGGAUGGCACAGUAAGUACUCCCGUGUCCCUAUGGAUAAC
This 277-nucleotide long non-coding RNA is filed under the name Homo sapiens (human). RNAcentral's name for it is "HSALNT0082597". The record is from RNAcentral. Lineage: Eukaryota; Metazoa; Chordata; Mammalia; Primates; Hominidae.